RNAcentral lists this ribosomal RNA (254 nucleotides) under uncultured bacterium. Its description in RNAcentral is "partial 16S ribosomal RNA". It matches the Rfam family "Bacterial small subunit ribosomal RNA", at positions 524 to 776 of the family's 1533-position model. The record is from RNAcentral.
UACGUAGGCAGCGAGCGUUGUUCGGAGUUACUGGGCGUAAAGGGUGUGUAGGCGGUUGUUUAAGUUUGGUGUGAAAUCUCCCGGCUCAACUGGGAGGGUGCGCCGAAUACUGAAUGACUUGGAGUGCGGGAGAGGAAAGUGGAAUUCCUGGUGUAGCGGUGAAAUGCGUAGAUAUCAGGAGGAACACCGGUGGUGUAGACGGCUUUCUGGACCGUAACCGACGCUGAGACACGAAAGCGUGGGUAGCAAACAGG